GCGGGUGUGGCGGAACUGGCAGACGCGCUGGAUUUAGGUUCCAGUGCCGCAAGGCGUGCAGGUUCGAUUCCUGUCACCCGUACUA
Molecule: transfer RNA, 85 nt
Filed under: Leuconostoc lactis
Lineage: Bacteria; Bacillati; Bacillota; Bacilli; Lactobacillales; Lactobacillaceae
Also listed under: 2 other names
Description: tRNA-Leu
Rfam family: tRNA
About the family: Transfer RNA (tRNA) molecules are approximately 80 nucleotides in length. Their secondary structure includes four short double-helical elements and three loops (D, anti-codon, and T loops).
Source: RNAcentral